GUGUCAGCAGCCGCGGUAAUACGUAGGUGGCAAGCGUUACUCGGAAUCACUAGGCGUAAAGCGCAGGUAGGCGGUUUGGAAAGUUCGUUGUGAAAGCUCCCGGCUUAACUGGGAGAGGUCAACGGAAACUACCAGGCUAGAGUGUGGUAGAGGUAGCUGGAAUUCCCGGUGUAGCGGUGAAAUGCGUAGAUAUCGGGAGGAAUACCUAUGGCGAAAGCAGGCUACUGGACCAUCACUGACGCUGAUCUGCGAAAGCUAGGGGAGCAAACAGGAUUAGAUACCCUGGUAGUCCUAGCCCUAAACGAUGCUCAUUAGGUGUGGGAGGUAUCGACCCCUUCCGCGCCGUAGCUAACGCAUUAAAUGAGCCGCCUGGGGAGUACGGCCGCAAGGUUGAA
This 395-nucleotide ribosomal RNA is filed under the name uncultured bacterium. RNAcentral's name for it is "bacterial SSU rRNA". It matches the Rfam family "Bacterial small subunit ribosomal RNA", at positions 505 to 898 of the family's 1533-position model. The record is from RNAcentral.